RNAcentral lists this small nuclear RNA (107 nucleotides) under Moschus moschiferus (Siberian musk deer). The record is from RNAcentral. Lineage: Eukaryota; Metazoa; Chordata; Mammalia; Artiodactyla; Moschidae.
GUGCUCUCAUCGGCAGCACAUAUACUAAAAUUGGAACAGUACAGAGAAAAUUAGCAUGGCCCCUGAGCAAGGAUGACACACAAAUUCGUGAAGCAUUCCAUGUUUUU